RNAcentral lists this ribosomal RNA (560 nucleotides) under uncultured bacterium. Its description in RNAcentral is "bacterial SSU rRNA". It matches the Rfam family "Bacterial small subunit ribosomal RNA", at positions 315 to 884 of the family's 1533-position model. The record is from RNAcentral.
GGGAACUGAGACACCGCCCAAGAAUCCUACCGGAGGCAGCCAUGGGGAAUAUUGCACAGUGGGCGAAAGUCCUGAUGCAGCGACGCCGCCUGAUGGAAGAAGGUUUUCCGAUUGUAAACCUCUGCCUUGGGGACGAAGAAGUGACCGUACCCAAAGGAGGGAGCCACCGCUAACUACGUGCCCAGCAGCCCGCGGUAAAACGUAGGUUGCAAGCGUUGUCCGGAAUUACUGGGUGUAAAGGGGAGCGCAGGCGGGUCGGUAAGUUGAAUGUGAAAUCUAUGGGCUCAACCCAUAAAUUGCGUUCAAAACUAUCGAUUCUGAGUGAUGUAGAGGCAGGCGGAAUUUCCGGUGUAGCGGUGGAAUGCGUAGAUAUCGGGAGGAACACCAGUGGCGAAGGCGGGCCUGCUGGGCAUUAACUGACGCUGAGGCUCGAAAGUAUGGGGAGCAAACAGGAUUAAGUACCCUGGUAGUCCAUACCGUAAACGAUGAUUACUAGGUGUGGGGGGAUAGACCCCCUCCGUUCCGCAGUAACGCAAUAAGUAAUCCACCUGGGGAGUACG